RNAcentral lists this long non-coding RNA (501 nucleotides) under Panax ginseng (ginseng). RNAcentral describes it as "long non-coding RNA (PGIN_LNC007296)". Lineage: Eukaryota; Viridiplantae; Streptophyta; Magnoliopsida; Apiales; Araliaceae. The record is from RNAcentral.
UGGCAGCCCCAAAUCCGGGUCCCGAAUCUCCGCGGAUCCGGUUCGCUAUUUCUACAACUAUUUGCGGAAGAUAUAAACAUAAAUUGUUUAUACAUUACAUUACACACUAUUCCCCAAGGUCGAGUAACCUUUACUUAAACACAAAUCAUAAGCUAUUUAACACAUAACAAUACUAUUCUUCAACCAUACUUUUACAAAUUAGCUGUACAUUCUAUCCCAAGCUGAACUUGGCAUUUUCCUUUUCCUGUAACUGGCCGUAUUCGCCUUAUCUGCAAUGUUUUAUCAUGAUAUAGCAAGGGUGAGCAUGAAAGUUGCCCAGCAAGUUUAAAAACAAUGCAAAGAUAUAUCAUGAUGGAAAGAGUUUGAAUAAUAAGCUGACUAUCCUUCACAAUGUAUUUGUGAAUUAGCAUGAACAAAGUUUUGACUGAACAAGUAUUUAACUGGAAUAACAAUAUAUCUGGACCAACUGGUAAUGAAGGUGAUCAGCCUUUCAUACCNNNN